GGAAGUGAGGACGUUAACCACGUCUGAUUGGUCAGAUUGAUGACACAUGAUCAAGCCUCAAGCAAUUGAUUGGCGGAGACAGUUGAAGGAGGCGGGACUUUUCUGAAAGCCGAUCUUGCGGCUGGAUUAGCGUGCUAUUAUCAAAUCGUCCACUGGGUGGCAGUGUAGCGUGCCGUGCUGUGAUGUCGAGUAGGCCCGCAGCAGAGGAAGAAAGUUUCCUUUUGUGAUGCCAGCAGAACGUGUGUUUAUCACUAUUCUGUUCCUCAGAUGUCAGAGAUGAAGCUGAUGAUAGAAGUGAUGAUGAUGAUGAAGAAGAAGACGUGAAAGAGCUGGAAGAACC
RNAcentral lists this long non-coding RNA (340 nucleotides) under Oryzias javanicus (javanese ricefish). RNAcentral describes it as "lncRNA (ENSOJAG00000012076.1)". The record is from RNAcentral. Lineage: Eukaryota; Metazoa; Chordata; Actinopteri; Beloniformes; Adrianichthyidae.